GGUGGCUCAGUGGUAGAGCGCUUGCCUUGCACAUAUGAGGCCCUGAGUUCAAUUCCUCAGCACCA
RNAcentral lists this transfer RNA (65 nucleotides) under Dipodomys ordii (Ord's kangaroo rat). It matches the Rfam family "tRNA". Rfam says of the family: Transfer RNA (tRNA) molecules are approximately 80 nucleotides in length. Their secondary structure includes four short double-helical elements and three loops (D, anti-codon, and T loops). The record is from Rfam by way of RNAcentral. Lineage: Eukaryota; Metazoa; Chordata; Mammalia; Rodentia; Heteromyidae.